RNAcentral lists this long non-coding RNA (270 nucleotides) under Hordeum vulgare. RNAcentral's name for it is "long non-coding RNA (HVUL_LNC019455)". Lineage: Eukaryota; Viridiplantae; Streptophyta; Magnoliopsida; Poales; Poaceae. The record is from RNAcentral.
CGGCACUCCCAGUACACUACCGAUGAGCCCGAAACUUUUCCGGUAAUGCACGAAAACCUUCCGGUAACCAAAUGAGGUCAUCCUAUAUAUCAAUCUUCGUUUCCGGACCAUUCCGGAAACCCUCGUGACGUCCGUGAUCUCAUCCGGGACUCCGAAUAACAUUCAGUAACCAACCAUAUAACUCAAAUACGCAUAAAACAACGUCGAACCUUAAGUGUGCAGACCCUGCGGGUUCGAGAACUAUGUAGACAUGACUCAAAAGACUCCUCG